UUUGCCACUUUGCUGGAAGAGCGAAAUGGUC
This 31-nucleotide non-coding RNA is filed under the name Rattus norvegicus (Norway rat). The record is from RNAcentral. Lineage: Eukaryota; Metazoa; Chordata; Mammalia; Rodentia; Muridae.